CUGGCUCAGGAUGAACGCUAGCGACAGGCUAACACAUGCAAGUCGAGGGGCAUCACGGGAGUAGCAAUACAACGUGGUGGCGACCGGCGCACGGGUGAGUAACGCGUAUGCAACCUACCUAUCAGAGGGGAAUAACCCGGCGAAAGUCGGACUAAUACCGCAUAAAACAGGGGCACCGCAUGGUGAUAUUGUUAAAGAAAUUCGCUGAUAGAUGGGCAUGCGUUCCAUUAGGUAGUUGGUGAGGUAACGGCUCACCAAGCCGACGAUGGAUAGGGAACUGAGAGGUUGGUCCCCCACACUGGUACUGAGACACGGACCAGACUCCUACGGGAGGCAGCAGUGAGGAAUAUUGGUCAAUGGGCGGGAGCCUGAACCAGCCAAGUCGCGUGAAGGAAGAAGGAUCUAUGGUUCGUAAACUUCUUUUGCAGGGGAAUAAAGUGCAGGACGUGUCCUGUUUUGUAUGUACCCUGAGAAUAAGGAUCGGCUAACUCCGUGCCAGCCGCCGC
Molecule: ribosomal RNA, 506 nt
Filed under: uncultured bacterium
Lineage: Bacteria
Description: bacterial SSU rRNA
Rfam family: Bacterial small subunit ribosomal RNA
Source: RNAcentral